Molecule: ribosomal RNA, 253 nt
Filed under: uncultured bacterium
Lineage: Bacteria
Description: partial 16S ribosomal RNA
Rfam family: Bacterial small subunit ribosomal RNA
Source: RNAcentral
UACGUAGGGGGCAAGCGUUAUCCGGAUUUACUGGGUGUAAAGGGGGCGCAGACGGCGAUGCAAGCCAGGAGUGAAAGCCCGGGGCCCAACCCCGGGACUGCUCUUGGAACUGCGUGGCUGGAGUGCAGGAGGGGCAGGCGGAAUUCCUGGUGUAGCGGUGAAAUACGUAGAUAUCAGGAGGAACACCGGUGGCGAAGGCGGCCUGCUGGACUGCAACUGACGUUGAGGCCCGAAAGCGUGGGGAGCAAACAGG